UUUCUUCCUUCCUUCCUUCCUUCCUUCCUUCCUUCCUUCCUUCCUUCCUUCCUUUCUUUCCUUUCCUUCCUUCCUUCUUUCUUAUUUAGGAAGAGGACUUUCUUUCCUAUUCAGCAUCACAGUUCCCUGCAAUACGCUGUAAUUUCCUGCAGCUCUCUCUGGGGACUUAAAAAAGAUGCUUCAGGUGACAGCAUUACUCAUACACCUGGGAGUUCUGCUACGGAGGUAAAAGAGAAAUUGUCAUUAUCCCUGAAGCUCCUGUCGGUUUUCCUUUGAGCAAUCAGCAGGAAGAAGAGCACAAUGCUGGGAAGGCAGCACAAAAUGCCAACUCCAGUCUCUAGAAAGAGCUAGCCGGUUGGUAACAUAGCAGCUUCCAAUGGUCCCCUCUGCGCCUCAAAAAAGACAGGGUUCACUGCCUGUGGAUUUUUGUUUUUUUAAGACAGAGAGAGCACAAGUGGGGAGGGGAAAGGAGGAGCAGAGAGAGAGGCAGAGAGAAUCUUAAACAGGCUCCAUGCCUAGUGGGAGUCCAACAAGGGGCUCGAUCUCACAACCCUGAGAUCAUGACCUGAGCUGAAAUCAAGAGUUGGAUGCUUACUGACUAAGACACCCAGGCGCCCCGUCAAUGAACAUUUUAAAACUUUACUCUCUCUACACACCUGAAAAGCCAAUGGCUAAAUUCUGAUAGACCCUGAAUGUUUGACAUAGGGCUUGAGGGUGAUGAAAACAAGAUUUUAGUUCAAUGGCUCUCAAUCAGGAGCAACGUUGUAUACCUCCCUCUGGGACAUUUGCCAAUGUGUGGAGACAUUUUUGGUUGUCAUAACUGGUGAGGGGGGUGGGUGCUAAUGGUGUCUAGUGGUAGAGGUCAGGGAUGCUGUUCAACAUCCUACAAUCCUCAGGACAGCCUCCACAAAAAAAGAACUCUCCUGCCUAAAACGUCGGUCAUGCAGGGAUUGAUGAACCCUUCUAGUUAAAUGCUACACUCUGCUCUUCCUCUCAGAUCAUUUUCAUUGGGAGAAACAGUCUUCCUUCUUGGUAUUUUCUCCCCAAAAGGCAGAUUGGGGAAGGAUGCAGCAAUCAUUCUAUGAUGGUUUUCAUGUCCUUAAAAAGCACCAUAACAAACUUAAAGCCCUUUGAGAAAGAACUGGAAUGUCAUUUUCUCUAAUCUUCACUCAAUCUUUUUGUGAUUUUUCAUAAAAAUGAGGAAUAGUAAUUCUCAUCAUAAACUACUUAUAUUUUUGAUCCUUUAAUUUUUGGUUCUAUCAUUUCAUUUAAAUUAGAGACUCCUUAGCUGGACCAAAGCUUUUCUUUGGCAUGUUAAAAAAAUUCCCUCCAUAAUGACCCCAAAAUGCAAUACUGAUGCCUCCCUUGGGCCACACACUGUUACAAAGUCUCUCAUGUGGCAGGCUAUUUCCUCUUCCUCCUUUUUUCUCUGUUAGACUGUAAGCUCUAGCAGGAACCCCUGUGGGUGAGGUUGGGGGUGGGGUGGCUGGAUGGUCCCACCCUGUUGAGGAGUACCCCUUGCACUGGAAAAUGUUUUG
RNAcentral lists this long non-coding RNA (1538 nucleotides) under Canis lupus familiaris (dog). RNAcentral's name for it is "lncRNA (ENSCAFG00845009921.1)". Lineage: Eukaryota; Metazoa; Chordata; Mammalia; Carnivora; Canidae. The record is from RNAcentral.